RNAcentral lists this ribosomal RNA (501 nucleotides) under uncultured bacterium. Its description in RNAcentral is "bacterial SSU rRNA". It matches the Rfam family "Bacterial small subunit ribosomal RNA", at positions 24 to 518 of the family's 1533-position model. The record is from RNAcentral.
UCAGGAUGAACGCUAGCUACAGGCUUAACACAUGCAAGUCGAGGGGCAGCAUGAUCUAGCUGCUAGAUGAUGGCGACCGGCGCACGGGUGCGUAACGCGUAUCCAACCUGCCGUGUACUCUGGGAUAGCCCUCUGAAAGGAGGAUUAAUACCGGAUGUGGUUGCGGAGAGACAUCUCUCUGCAAUUAAAGAUUUAUCGGUACACCGAUGGGGAUGCGUAUGAUUAGCUGGUUGGCGGGGUAACGGCCCACCAAGGCGACGAUCGUUAGGGUUCUGAGAGGAAGGUCCCCCACAUAGGAACUGAGACACGGUCCUAACUCCUACGGGAGGCAGCAGUGAGGAAUAUUGGUCAAUGGGCGAGAGCCUGAACCAGCCAAGUAGCGUGAAGGAAGACUGCCCUAUGGGUUGUAAACUUCUUUUAUGAGGGAAUAAAGUGCGCCACGUGUGGCGUUUUGUAUGUACCUCAUGAAUAAGCAACGGCUAAUUCCGUGCCAGCCGCGGC